GCCUUCUAAUAAUCUUGUCAGAAGAAAUAAAAGAAAGAAAAAUGCUGAAGAAAUAGACCUGACAGUAAUUACAUAUUUCGAAGGUCUUCUUACUGAUUUCUUGCUCUUCUAUGUGGCUUGUGAAAACUCUAUUAAUCUUCCAUGUGAACAUCCUUCCUCAGACACGCCUCCACCCUGAUGUUCUGUCUCACCUCAAGCCUAGAGCAAUGGAACCAGCCACCUAUGGGCUGAAACCUCUGAAACCAUGAGGCAACAUAAACCUUCCCUCCUCUAAAUUGUUUUUCUCAGGUAUUUUGUCCCAAUGAUGAAAAGCUAACAUAGUCACCAUAUAUGA
Molecule: non-coding RNA, 334 nt
Organism: Ictidomys tridecemlineatus (thirteen-lined ground squirrel)
Lineage: Eukaryota; Metazoa; Chordata; Mammalia; Rodentia; Sciuridae
Source: RefSeq, a predicted model, not a curated record